Symphalangus syndactylus (siamang) is the source of this 4841-nucleotide long non-coding RNA. RefSeq lists it as uncharacterized. The record is from RefSeq and is a predicted model, not a curated record. NCBI's taxonomy places the organism in Eukaryota, Metazoa, Chordata, Mammalia, Primates, Hylobatidae.
CUAUUGAGUUCUUUAUAGAAGUUGGAAAUAUUUUGAAAUCUGAGAUCUAAUUCCUGGCCAAGUGUAGUGGCUCAUGCCUGUAAUCCCAACAUUUUGGGAGACCGAGGUGGGCGGAUCACCUGAGGUUGAGAGUUCGACAUCAGCCUGGCCAACAUGGUGAAACCCCGUCUCUACUAAAAAAUACAAAAAUUAGCCAGGCAUGGUGGCUCAUGUCUGUAAUCCCAGCUGCUGGGGAGGCUGAGGCACAAGAAUCUCUUGAACCUGGGAGGCAGAGGUUGCAGUGAGCCGAGAUCACACCACUGCACUCCAUCCUGGGCAAUGGAGCGAGACUCUGUCUCAAAAAAUAAUAAAUAAGAUAUGAUUCCUGCCUGUUUUAUCCAGUUAGAGAGACACACUACACAUGAAAUAGUUGGAGAGCAUGUAAAUGUCUACCUGUUACUUCCAGCUUGGAAAAAGGGAAGAAUAUGUUUUAGUUAGCAAAGUCUUAAGACUGAAAAGUGGCAAGCACUGUAGCUCAUAUUUUCUUUUGACUCACCUUUUUCUUUAGCUGCACCUUUUGUAACUUCUAGAUUUGGGGCAUGAAGUUCUGCCAGUAAGGCAUAACCAGUACCCAAGUAGGAAAGGAUUCUUGAUCCCCGGAGUAAAGAUUCCUAGCUCGCAGGGAUCUCACUUGCACACUUAGGGGAAAGACCAGAGGGAGCCACUAGCAACUGAAAAAUGAAGGAUUUAAUUUCUCUACCCAGGUCCAAAUCCAGUGCAUAAUGUAGUAUAUGUUAUAUGCAGAAAGGGCACUGGACGUGUGGGAGCCCUUUGGGUAACAGCUCUGCUAGUUGUUACCUUCAUACUUCUCUUUCUUCUUAAUCUCGGGUUUCUCAUCUGAAAAAUGAGAUAAUUGGACUAGAUUAAUAGUUCUCAGCCUUUUCUAGACCAACAAAUUAGAUGAUCUCUGAAGUCCUUUUCCCCUCCAAAAUUUUGUGCUUCCAGUCUCUCCCCUUUAUUGCAUAUUAUCCCUAGGCUAAUUAAAGGUGUGCUGGUUAAUCAGUUUCUUUUUUGUUUUUUUUCUUUUUUUUUCUGUGUUCAGGUAUCAUUUGACCAGUAACUUGCUCUUAAUCUUACUGUGAUGACUGAAAUCUCCAAAGAGGAGAGUAUAAUAGUUAUAGGUCUAGUAAUAAUAAUCUUUUAAACAAUUCAUUAUUUUUUAAAACUUAAUGCUGUGUGCCUAGUGUUGAGUAUGACUAAAAUGUAAAUGAGAACCAAAUAUGACACUAACGCUGGCACUAAAUUUUAUUUUUACUUGUGUACUUAAAGUACUUUACUGGCCUGUUGGGAAAUUGAUUUGUAUAAGUUUUAAGAUUCACACUUGGUUUUGGCAGAAACAACUUUUUAAAGAUACAGUUAGGCUGACUUUUAAAAAUGUUUUUUAUCCCACAGAAUGUAUCUUUAUUAUGUCAUUCUUACCCUCUCUCUGCCUUUUUUGACCAUCAUUUAACUACUCAGUAGUAAAUCAUGGGGUGCAGGCUGAUGAAUUAGUAGUCUUUGUAAAACUAAAAUGUAAUGAGCAUAGGAAGAACCAGCUCUUCUGGUGAACAUGGCAGUUUUCUGGUAAUACCAGCCUUGAUGAAUAGGCUAAAGACAGCUGUGUACUGUGGACAUUCAGCUUCACGGGGUUGUCUGGCUUCACCUUUCAGUUAUUGUCUUGCUGUACACAUCUUAGAAUAGUGGCAAGAAUGUUCUUUAGAACUGCAGAUAACCCGACAGAGAAUACCAUCCCAAUAUAUCGGCUUCUCCUCUUAUAUAGAGAUUUGGUAUUUCAGUGAUGGUUGUUUUGGUUUUUGACUCACCUUUGUGUCAGUCCUGCUAGAGAGACAGUAUAGAAUCAAGAAUUUCUUGGUGUCUUUUUAAAAAUAGAGAUUUUAAUGGUCUUGCUAGUUUUCCUGUGAAGUGAACUUACAUGGCUGGAUUAUUGAAUGUGACAGACCCUUAAUUAGAAAACCUUUUAAUCCUGCUUUCUAUUUUACUUCUCCACCAUUUAUUUUUAACAUUCAUUCUCUGAAAAUAGUUAUGAUUUUUAAUGUAAUUGGCUAUGUUUAAGAAAUUCCAUUUGAAAGUCUUAAUAUGUAACAAUCUUCAUUUUUUAUAAAAUUGAAGGACAUUUUUGAGGCAAACUUACUUUUAUAGCUCAUUUUCUCUCUAGUUAAGGAGAAUUCUCUGGUUUCAAAUAGAGAAUGGCUAGUUCUGUGAUACCCCACCUUCUUUGUGGCCUACUAGUUGCUGUUGUGUUGCUUAAAAUUGCAGAUAUUCUCAUAAACAUGAUGAUUUUUGGCACAGGCCUUUCUUUGCCAUAUUGAUUUCAAAAUAAAGUUGGGCAAUCCAAUUUGAACUACUUUAAUAAACAUAAUUUAGCAUUUCUGUAAUGAGAAAGUAUUUUCAAAAGAUAACCGGAUUUACUUUAGGAUUAGAGAUGGCAAAUACCAAUGACGGUAUUUUUCCCAAGAGCAAUCACAUAUUAAUCUGUAAAUAUGAGAAGUCGCAUUAUUGUACUUAAUUCUUUGGCAACAAACAGCAAGUUUUUAUUGUUUAAUUGUAUUUCCUCUCUAGAGAUCACAAUACUCCAGGUAUUUUAUAUCCCUUCUAAAGGUCAUUUGGGUUUUCAGAUGGGAAGAAUAGUCAAGCUAAGCUGGACUAAACCUAAGGAAUAUUUUAUCUCAUCAAAAGAAGUUAUUAAUCUAACUGGGUUAGCAUGAGUCAUUCAUUUUUUAGACAUGAUAAGUGGGAAACAUUUCAAAUCAUUAGAUAAAUUCUGACCUGGAAUUGAAUUCUCCUUUUCUUAAAAUCUUUUUAAUUUGCUUUUUUCAUAGACUCAGCAUGGAACUCUUAACUGAUGAGGGAGAGAUUCUUGAUGUGGAACCAUUCCCUGCCAUUCUGCUUUUUUCUCUCUCUCAAGGUAGCUGGUUCCAUAGUGCCUGUCACCAGGGUCCAUUUCAGGUUGAUGACAGACCGUUUACACUCAGUUGGAUACCUUGCUGUUUGCAGCAACAUGAUUUUACAGUAUGCUUUUCUCAAAGCUUUGCAUUCUUAAUGGAGAUAUCAAAUGGUGUAAUUCCAAAUAUAAAUAUGUUUAUGACACUAAUCAUAUGAUUUUAACAAUAACUUUUUGAUAACUUAUUGCCCUGUAAGUUAAACCUUACACAGAGUGACUGUUGCCAUCAGAAAUCCCCUUUCACCUGCUAGUGAGAGUGAAAGUAGCACGUGGCCUCACUUUUCAGUUAACGAGUAGCAAGCUUCUAGUAGGGGCUGCUUAUCUGACCCAUUUGGGGUCUUGGGCCUUGUCACUUUCCUGGGUUUGUCCCUUCAGCUGGAAAGGCUGUUGAAAACACUUGCCAGGAAACAGUAAAACUGUGAGAGAAUCUUCUAGUCUUAGAUAUAGAGAAAUGAGUACCAGUUGAUGCUAACAUGAUACUUAGACUUUGAGGGGCUUCCAUUCAAGCUUUGGCAUGAAUCUGUUAAGACACAGUUUUCUUCACUCCUCUGAUGAUCUUUUUUUCCAGAGUGGUUUUUUUUUUGUUGUUGUUGUUAACAAAUUCUAAACAUCCAGUGUUACUUUGUUUUGUUUUGUUUGCCCUUCAGGAAAGUCCUUUUUCGAGUAGGUAUUGACUGUUCCACGGAAACUCUCAGCAGUGUCUGCGCAGGCUCUGUGCAUGCUUUGUAUGAGUUCAGCUUGAACAAUGCGUUUGAAAUCACCUGGGAUGUCCAAUUCUGGCAUGUCUUCAUUGUUUGUGUUUUUAAACAUGUUUCAUGUCAUUUUCCAAACCUCACUUUACAUCUUACUCAGAGAAGUUAAUAAAGGAAUGAAAUUUCUAGGGGGAUAGGGAUGAUGAGGGUGGGUCGGGGGCUUGAGUGAAGUCAACUCGGGGUGUUUGUUUAAAGUGUUCCUAACAGUAUUUAGAGAUUCCCUGGGAAGUUUGUGUGCUCAGCUUAUUCUGGACAAAGUGUAUGUGGGAGUGGUCUUACUGAGAUUUGCAUUCUUAAUGCAGGACAGGCUCUAAAUUUCAUCUGUACUCUAAAUUUGUGAUUGAAUCAAAUCAAAGAAGAUAACAGAGACAGUGCUCCCUAAAAUGCACAUCGAAUUCUGUUUUCUGGGCCUUUUCUCCCAUGGUGCUAGGAGAUACCGUUGAUUUCUGCAGCUCCUCUCAGUGGUGGGAAGAAGUCUUUGGGAUUGUUGAGCAGGGGGCAGCUGGACCAUCCACUAAAUUUCUUUGUUCAACACACAUUAGAGACCCUCCUGUAUAUCUAGUAAGUCAUAAUAAAGGUGCUUGGGAAAGCCUUAAAUUUGAAGACACAUGGAGGCGGUAGAAAAUUAAACUUGUAAGAGGAGAAAAACAUGCCAUUAGGUAACGCAGAGCUGUAACUGCUGGCUAAGACUCAAUGGAACUUCCACUUGCUCUAAAACCAGGGAAAUCUUAGAUAACUGGGUGUGAUCUACCUAUAGAUCUACAUAUAGUCUAUAGGUAAUAAUUUCCAGAAGGAGGAUCUUGCUGUCAGUUGGGGAUCCUCUGGUUUGGGCUGUACCAAAUUGUGAAUACUCUUGCUGUGUUGUACCCAGUUGCUUUAUAUUAAUACUGCAACUUGAAAUGGGGAGGGUGGGGGGGACAAUGGGGUGGGGGAGGGAGGGGAGUGGGACGAUAAGUCUUUUGAAGACAUCAGCUCACUGUGCUGAGAGAGGGACCAAACUCAAGGAAACCUCUGAUCUAUACAUUCAACUGCUGCAUUUUUUUAUAAAUACAUGUAAAUGUCCUGUUGUAAUAUUUGAUCUUGGAAAUAAAAACAAAAACUUUUCAGUA